Triticum aestivum (bread wheat) is the source of this 134-nucleotide non-coding RNA. The record is from Rfam. Lineage: Eukaryota; Viridiplantae; Streptophyta; Magnoliopsida; Poales; Poaceae.
AUUAUACUCCCUUCAUCCGGAAAUACUUGUAAUCAAAAUGAAUAAAAGGGGAUGUAUCUAGAUGUAUUUUAAUUCUAGAUACAUUUCUUUUUAUCCAUUUUGAUGACAACUAUUUUCGGACCGAGGAGUACCAA